This 497-nucleotide ribosomal RNA is filed under the name uncultured bacterium. RNAcentral's name for it is "partial 16S ribosomal RNA". It matches the Rfam family "Bacterial small subunit ribosomal RNA", at positions 28 to 507 of the family's 1533-position model. The record is from RNAcentral.
GAUGAACGCUGGCGGCGUGCCUAAUACAUGCAAGUCGAGCGAACAGAUGAGGAGCUUGUUCCUCUGACGUUAGCGGCGGACGGGUGAGUAACACGUGGAUAAUCUACCUAUAAGACUGGGAUAACUUCGGGAAAGCGGAGCUAAUACCGGAUAAUAUAUUGAACCGCAUGGGUCAAUAGUGAAAGACGGUUUUGCUGUAACUUAUAGAUGGAUCUGCGCCGCAUUAGCUAGUUGGUAAGGUAACGGCUUAUCAAGGCGACGAUGCGUAGCCGACCUGAGAGGGGGGUCGGCGACAUUGGAACUGAGCCACGGACCAGACGCCUACGGGAGGCAGCAGUAGCGAAUGUGCCGCAGUGGGCGAAAGCCUGGCGGAACGGCGCGGCGUGAGUGGUGAAAGUCUUCGGAUCGUGAAGCUCUGUUAUGAGGGGAGAACAAAUGUGUAAGUAACUAUGCACGUCUUGACGGUACCUGGUCAGGAAGCCACGGCUAACUACGUG